Long non-coding RNA from Prinia subflava (tawny-flanked prinia), 4635 nucleotides. RefSeq lists it as uncharacterized. Lineage: Eukaryota; Metazoa; Chordata; Aves; Passeriformes; Cisticolidae. The record is from RefSeq and is a predicted model, not a curated record. The transcript has 4 exons.
GCUGCUGCCAAUUUUAAAAAAGACUGCAUUAAGCAACAGGAAUCAUAGGCUCUGGUAGAAUAACCCACCAGGUCCCAGAGAGCAUUCCGGAUGUUUUGAUUAAGAAUUACUGUCUUGGAUUUUAUCUGAGACUUCAAGUAUGUCCUAGGACAGAGAGGUGAAAGACCCAGAUGUAAUUCAAUUCUAGAAGUGAAAUUCAGGCCCAUGGGGUCGCCUUGGGAAAAGUUUGGAGGCCACCCUGGGUCUCAGUUGAGCAGGUUUUCAUACCAUGGCCUGAGAGCAAUUUUCUAGCCUUCCGUUGCUGUGAUCCAAUACUAAAGUAAGAUAAGUGCAGAUAACUGAGACACAGCCUACGCAGAAAAAGGCCUGGUUGGAAAAAUGCCCAGGUACACAGAGAACUCCUCCAGGAGCAGGUUGGGCUACCACAGUGCUUCUGUUUUGUUCUGUACUUAUAUUACAAUGGCAGCUGAUUCCCAUCAGUUGGUACAUGGAUAUAAUUGUCACUUUUGCUUCUGGUCCCUUUCCAGAAAAGAGUUAAGCCAUCUCUGUCCUUGCCAAGGCAUUGCUAGGUGGCUCUCACCUGGGGCCAGGACUCACCUGAACACUGAAUCCUUUGUUCCAUUGCCCUUCCUUUGUCAGACAAGAAGCAAAUAGUCAGAUCACUGUUCACUGGCAAACAGUGUUUUCCUUAGAACAUAGGCAAAGAGAAUGAGGUCAAAAGGUUUAUCACCUGGGGCCUUUUCUUUGUCAAAUCUUCAUCUAAUAACCAACAUUUUGGUAUAAUUGAAGCACCAAAUGGAGACAACCAUACAUGCAGUAAACUGCAUGAGUGUUCAAAUAGAAUGUGUCCAUGGAGAAAUACUCAGAAAUAUUAAUUUCCUUUGUUUUUCUUCUCAUGGUCACAGUGUCACCAGUGAGGACAGCUGGAAUGUGCAUGCUCUUGCAAAAAGAAUGGUCUCUGUUAAAACUUAAAAGAUACAGCUUCUCCCUGCUGUGUCCAUUGAUAAAUGCACUUCACUUGCUUAUCGGUUUUCUUGCAUUUUGAUUUAAAUGGGCAGGCACCUAAACUCCCAGCCAUUUGGAAAAAAAGCUGUGGGUUGAGAUAAAGAUAGUUUAACAGGACAGAAAAGGAAGGGAAAAAUUAUUAUUAUUAUUAUUAUUAUUAUUAUUAAUAAUAAUAAUAGAAUGUGCAAAACAAGGGAUGCACACUGCAGUAGCUCAUCAGUUCCUGAAUGAUGCCCAGCCAGUCCCUCAGCAGAGAUUGGUCUCUCCUGGCCAGCUUCCCCAGUUUUAUUAUUCAGCAUGAUGCCAUAUGGUAUGGAACGUCCCUUUGGCCAUUGGGAUCAGCUGUCCUGGCUGUAUCCCCUCCCAUCUUCGUGUACACUCCCAGCCUCCUCCCACUGGCAGGGCAGAGUGAGCAGCUGGAAAGUCCUUGACAAAGAGUAAGCACUACUUAGCAACAGCUAAAACAUCAGUGUGUUAUCAGCAUUUUUCUCUGCAUUAUUCUCAUCCUAAAUCCAAAACAUAGCACCGUACCAGUGUCCUGGGGUGACAGGACAUUUUCAUGCUUUGUAUCCCAAAUCGUGGUUGGUUUUCUUUUUUUUUGUUUUUGUUUUUUUAUUUUUUUUUCCCUGUUCCCGUGUGCCCAGUUUGUUUUGUCUGUGGCUGAGCCCCUGCUAGCUUUAGGCUGCUUUUGCUGGCUUUGCCCUUUGCUUUCUGCUUUUUGCUUGCUUUUUUGCCAUCUUUUUCUGCUUUUGUGUUUCCCCUUCUUUCCUUCCUCCCUUCCUUGAAGACAUCAGACCUGCUUCGGGCCCUGAUUCAAGAACAUCAAAGGAACACCCCCCGGAGUCUGCACGUAAAAGAAGCUUUAGCACCCUCCCCAGCAGAGACUACUCACCCUCUCUUAGACUAGUAAAAACAUUUCUUGUCAUCUCAGACUGUUUUCCUUGUGUUAGGGAGUGGUUUUUUUUCAUUGUUUCUCAAUAAACAAGUUUUUUCCACCUUCUCCUCUGAAGAAAUUCCUCCCGAACCCGGUAGUGAGAGAGAGAGUUGUAGAAUUUUGUCCUAAACUAAGACAACCAGCUACUAGGAAGAAAAUUACUUCUAUCCCAGCUGAAACCAUGACAAGCUUUGUACGCUGUAGUUCUUGUACUUUGAAGCCUUCUGCUGCCUCUGCUCUUUGAAUGCACCUCUGUGUGCAUUUAGAGUUAUAAAAAGAUUGAAGGAUUCCUCUAGGACUGCCUGUCUGUUAACACAUAAGGAUUGCAUGUAUCAAACAAGAAACCUAUAGACUUCCUGAAACCUAAAAUAAGAAAAGAAAAUUUGUAAUUACACCAGCCUUUCAUUGAUGAGCUCAGCUUGUUCAGUUGUCCUUAAAAGCCCAGCAACUGAGACAAGCAUGACAGCAGGGUCUGGAUGUUACAAUGUUUGAGUAAUUUUGGUUUUGAGAGGUGAGGAACUGACUUCCAACAUCAGAUUGCAAAAUCCACUCCACUAGCACCUGCCAGAGCUGCUAGUAACUAAUCCAAGAUGGCUCAGAGAUCUCAGAUUUCAGGCAUUUCACAUUCAGUAGAAAACAGCUUAAUCUCCAUCUCCUAAUCUUCAUGCCAUCAGUACAGAGUAUGGGGUCUGGGGUUUCCUGCAGCACAAUGGCAAUUAAUGUCUGUGUGCAGCUGAGGACAGGCAGGAGAGGAGUUUUUAACCUCUUUCCUCUUGCUAUUGAUUUCUCCUCUUAGAGCGUGCUGCUUUAGCUGCAGUGUUGUGUGUUGAACAUCUGCUUUGUUGCACCCCUGUCACGGUGCUGCUUUUGCACUGUGUGGCUUUUGGAGUGUUAAAGCUUUCAGUGAAGAGCAAGGUAAAGCUGGGGUUUGAUGGUUCCCUCGCUCAUUGCUUCUCCAGUGUCCCAUAUCUCCAGCUAGAGUGUGGGAGUCUGGGUGGGAGCUGGAAUCCAUGCUCACAUGCAUUGGCAGAAGGUGACAGCAGAGCCAGCUCUGCUCCCCCUCUUCUCCCUGCUGCAGCAGAAGCCAGAUCCAGAUGGAUAAAGCAAGAACAAUAUGAAUUAGGAUGGUGUAAACACACAGAAAAGGCAGCCUUAAUUAAUUCUAUCUUUUUACACUGACAUUAUGAAAACGUCAGCUCUACAUUCCUCUAACUGGAAAAAAAAAAAAAAGAAAAAAGUGAAUAAAAAGGAAAAAACCCCUAUUUUUAUUUGAGUAAGGCUUGUUUUUCUUGAAACUCUUGAAAAAUGUAACUAUACUGAAUAUACAAUGAACACUGUUUUUUCUAUGCUGCAUAAAAAUAUAUAUGACGAAUGAUUAUUUCUCAUCUUUAAGCAUUAUUUAUCCAUGCCUCUCUAGCCAGUUAUAUUUAGGAUGAGAUGAAUCAUGGACUGUUUCUGCCCAGUGACUGUAAAAGGAGUCUUAAAUGACCAUCUCAGAUGCAGAUGUCUUUUGCAACCGUUUUUGUUGUACUACUCUUCCUUAAUUUAGUUUCACAGCUUGGAUAGAAAAAUCUGUUUAUAAACCAGACAUCAGAUCUCAUAUGCCAAAACUAAACACAAAAUUAAUUGAUUUUAUGUAAUAAAAUUCCAUCUGGAGGUUGUACAAAAAUCGUAGGUGAUGAAAUAACCCCCACAAACAUCUCCAGAGGCAUGGCUUGCUGAGGUGGGUGCUUCGGUAUCCCGUGUGUGCAGUGGGUGGUGUGUAAGUACCAUGGCUCUCCCUGCCCAUCCCCUUGCCAGCAGCAAGCCUCCCCACCCCCAGCAGGACACACCAUGACACAGUGUUCUUAAAACCCUCUCUGCUGGGAUGGUGCUGUGGGCAUGGCACAGCACAGAUGUGGCCAGGUGUUGUUGGUGGUGUCACAGAUGGAUUAACAGAGUCUGCAGAUGGGCUGAACCAGUGACUGCUCGGGUCCUGCAGCCUGAGAAAGGAGCUUGCACAUGGUCUGGCCACAGGGAGCAUCAAACCUGGCUCCAGAAUGUGCAACCAGCUGCCCUGCUUUGCCUAAGCAAAUGAAUGUGAUGGAUGCUGGUAAAGAUCCCACCAGUGCAGAAGGCUGGGUAAUGGUCUUGGUGACCCACCCUAAUUCCAGCAUUGUGAGAUACAGUCCACCUUAAAGGAGAGUGGAUCACCUUCAGGGCCUGGUUGGGCUGUGAGCACCCCAUGCUCACAAACAGAGAGACAGAGCAGCCACGGGGAGCCAAGUCUGGAGCUGCCUGACCAGCCUCUCUGCCCAGUGAAGUGAAUAACCUCAUAUUGUAAAAAUGAUCUUCUGAAAUCUCAUUGGAAUCUCAAGGCUGCUAAUAAAGUCUUGUUCCACAUCCCUCACUUCCCCUCUCAUUAGCAAGGCAGAACCACUUGGGUUUACAUUUAAAAUGAGGAAUAAUCUGUUCUCUAAAUUAGGACAGCUGAGGAGUUUUUGUGCCCAGGGUAGCAGAGCAUCAGGAAUGAUGACAUUUGAAUACACAUUCUGGUGUCCAGGGGCAAACCCCCCACUAGUGCCCUGAGAUGUGAGGCAUAAAUAGACCACAUCCUACUCUGCAGGCAUAUACAUUUGACUUCUGAGUUUCUUUUCAAGGUCUUGUUUCCACUUACAGAAUUUAUUUACAGUCUGCUUAUAUGAAAUUUCAAACAU